AUAGGUACUCAGGGGAGCUGCUUUAGCUGAGAGGGAAGCCGGCGCGCUUUCGACCCUUAUCACCAGAUCCGGAUAAUGCUGGCGCUGGGAGUUUUUGUAUAGGAGAA
RNAcentral lists this non-coding RNA (107 nucleotides) under Aminobacterium colombiense. RNAcentral's name for it is "TPP sequence". It matches the Rfam family "TPP riboswitch aptamer (THI element)". Rfam says of the family: Vitamin B(1) in its active form thiamin pyrophosphate (TPP) is an essential coenzyme that is synthesised by coupling of pyrimidine and thiazole moieties in bacteria. Lineage: Bacteria; Thermotogati; Synergistota; Synergistia; Synergistales; Aminobacteriaceae. RNAcentral also lists the same sequence under 1 other name. The record is from RNAcentral.